This is an RNA transcript of Chelonia mydas (Green sea turtle), 4627 nucleotides long. It is a transcript of the gene named fucosyltransferase 10, with no coding region annotated. The transcript has 6 exons. NCBI's taxonomy places the organism in Eukaryota, Metazoa, Chordata, Testudines, Cheloniidae. The record is from RefSeq and is a predicted model, not a curated record.
CUCGCCAUUUUUAUACUCCACAUGUCAACUUUAUUUCCAAGUGACACAUCUGAUAUCAGACUUCGCCAAGUGGAUGCAUUUUAGCCGGCCCUUGGCUGGAGAAGCACAGAGCUCACCGCACACUCCAAACUUUUAUGACGCAUUUCUUUUUACAACUGAACAGCCCUCCUCUGGCAGAACACAGUGAAUCUAAGUCCCGUUAGGAGAGCGGGACUGGCUACAAUAACUGCACUGUUAUAAAAAAAAAAGAAGUCAGCACAGAGAACAGAUUUUUGCUGAGAUCUCCUUGUCAGAGACUUCCAGGAAGCGCAAUCUUCACAAAAAUGAUAGCACAAUUAAUGUAGUUAGUUUUCCUUUGCAGAACAUUCAGGACCUAGGAAAGAUUGGAUUCCAAUCCUGGCUGAAGCUCUGCUUGGCAAUAGGACUCGUGAAACUAUGGAUACUGGAUUCCCAGGAACUCAGAGGGAUUCUCUGCAUAUUUAUUUUGCUAAGAGAAAUAUUCUGAGCUCCAGGUUUUUAUCCUGAUCUCGAACAGCUGCACAAACUGAAAGUAAAAAGAGCAUAGCAACAAUGGCCUAAGAGCCCCGCAGUUUUCCUGAGCCAGUCCAUCCACCUCCAAGGUAUCUUUGGUUCAAAACGCUGCUCUGAUGUCUACAGAAGAACACAGUCCUGUCUAGACAUUGAACCAAACAAUUCCAAACAAGGAAUACAGUCCUUGAUGGAGCCUCCUUCUGAGCAGCUGUGGCCAUUGAGAAAAACAGUGACAGAAUGGGAAAGCACAGCAGGAAUGACUGAAGCUGUAGGAGGAGCUGGUAUCCCUGAUAACAGGCCUUGACCACCACUUGGCACUCUGUGGGCCUGGCAGCACAGCAUGAUUAGAAUUGGAAGGAAGAAACUUUGGGCAUCUUUAUUCUGCUUUACGGCCUUCUUUUUUCUUCUUGUUACACUCCAGGUGGUUCUUGAACUGGGCAAGUCUGAAAGGAAGAUAAAAGUCUCCAGUUUACAAGAUGGUUCAUUAAAACUGGAGGAGCAGCGGAAACAUGCAUAUCAGUUUUUUAAUAAACAGGAACUCUACAGCUAUACCAGGAGAGUUUUAGAUGCGGACAGAUACCCUAUCCUGCUCUGGUGGUCCCCGCUGACUGGCGAGACUGGGAGGUUAGGUCAGUGUGGACAGGAUGUCUGUUUCUUUACUAUCAAGAGGAUCUACCAGCAUAAUCACAUGACAAAAGCCUUUCUCUUCUAUGGUACUGACUUUAAUAUAGAUAGCUUACCCCUCCCUCGUAAACGCCAUCACGACUGGGCCCUUUUCCAUGAAGAGUCGCCCAAAAACAACUACAAGCUCUUCCACAAACCUACCAUCACCUUGUUCAACCAUACAGCUACCUUCAGUCGCCACUCCCAUCUGCCGCUGACUACUCAGUAUCUAGAGGGCAUAGAGGUCAUAAAGUCUCUGAGAUACAUGGUUCCGCUGCAAAAGAAGAAUAGCUUGAGAAAAGGACUUGCACCGCUUGUGUAUGUGCAGUCCGAUUGCGACCCUCCUUCAGACCGGGACAGCUACGUGCGUGAGCUGAUGAGCUACAUCCAGGUGGACUCCUAUGGUGAAUGCUUGCAUAACAGAGACCUUCCUCAGCACCUCAAAAACCCAGCCUCCAUGGACGAUGGUAACUUCUAUAGAAUACUUGCUCAGUACAAAUUCAUUCUGGCUUUUGAAAAUGCAGUCUGCGAGGAUUACAUCACUGAAAAACUCUGGAGGCCCCUCAAGUUGGGAGUGGUACCAGUGUACUAUGGGUCUCCCAGCAUUACGGACUGGCUUCCUAGCAAUAAGAGUGCAAUCCUUGUAACAAGAUUUUCACAUCCCAGAGAGCUGGCACACUACAUCAAGGCACUGGACACAAAUGACCAAGAGUACGAGGCCUACCUAGAAUGGAAACUGAAAGGGGCCAUCUCCAAUCAACGACUGCUCACUGCUAUCCGAGAACGCAAAUGGGGAGUCCAGGAUAUCACGCAGGACAAUUAUAUUGAUGUGUUUGAGUGCAUGGUGUGUAAUAGGGUGUGGGAAAACAUCAGAAGGCAGGAAAAGGGAUUGUCACCCAGGACAUGGAACGCACAAGUUAACCACCUGAGCUGCCCGAAACCUGAGGCUUUGUUCUCCUCUCCAAACAUACGCUGGACAUCUCUGCGAGAGAUGUGGAUACCAAGCUUUGAACAAUCCAAGAAAGAAGCCCAAGCACUGAGACAGCUGGUGGAAAGGAAUAUGAAUUUUACAGCUCAGGAAUUUUGGACACUUGUAUUCAAAGAAUAAACACGACAGGCUAUCACACAGAGCGAGCUCCCCAAAGGAGUGCGCUUUGUAAUAUUCUUUUGCACACUGCCUUAACAUCUGUAGGUCAAUAAGUACAGGAAGGAGUUAAAUUGUCCUGUAAGAUAGACUGCAGUAGGUACAGUACUCAGUAAGUACUGAUAAACUACAGAAUUACCCGAGCGGUUUUUUAAAAACUAUAUUUUUAUACUAAUUGUCGUUAGCUUGGACAUUUGAGCAUUAAGACCCCUACUAAGGAAGGUGCUCAAUGCACAUGCCUGAUUUUAAGCCUAUGAGUAGUCCCAGUGAAGCUAAUGGGACCACAGUCACUUGCUUAGUAACAGGCCCUUCCUUGCAGAAUCAGGCCCUUCGCCUUCUCUGACCCAAGCUCCCACAUCCCUGGGUUGACAUCCACAGGCUAUGGAAGAGUUUAUACAAUCACAUUGGUGUGACCUCUGUGGCAGCGUGCCUUUGAGACAGGUGUAGCGAUCAGGCUUGCUGCUGAGUAUGUCUGUUUAUCAUCAGUCCCCUUGGCAUUCACAGGUUUAGUUGAGACUUGGCAAGCUAAGACGUCCUGAGGCUGAGAAGGAAUGUAAAAUGCAUCAGUAUUUAGCACUGGGAAAUUCCAGCUGCUGCUUCCUGGGGACGGAAAGAAUGAAAAUGUGCUGGACAAUAAUAGCCGCACAAAGGUGAAAGGAUGCGAUUGGCUGAAGCAGGGAUUAAAUGAAGGGCCUGAUCCUGCUGCAAAGCCGUCCCUAUGUCGACGCUCGAAAUGCUACAGCGGCACAGCUGCAGCAGAGCUGUCGCAGAGUCAAAGGGCCCAGCCCGCUAUAGGAGCCAACCCAUGAGGCAUAUCGGAUAUCAGUGGGUAUGUCUACACUGCAAAAAUAACCCCCCCAACCAAAACUGUGCGAUGAGUCUCAGAGCCUGAGUCAACCGCGGGACUUGCACUACCGGGCUCAAAAUAGCGGAGAAGGCGUUCCCGCUCAGUCUGCAGCCAGUCUGUGAGACCAGCCCAAGUGGGAACAUCCACGCUACUAUUUUUAGCCCUGUUGCAUGAGCUCAAGUCAGUUGACUCAGGCUCAGACUGGCUGCCUUGUUUUUGGUUUGCAGUGUAGACAUACCCUGACAUGCAAUCUUCAGAAAAAUAGCCUGUUUUACCUUUUAACAUAACACCAAGAGCUGUAAAAUAUUGCGCGCUCUCUCUCUCUCUCUCUCUCUCUCUCUCUCUCUCUCUCUCUCUUAAGAAGCUGUGAAGAGGGUUGAUGCUGGAAUGAUCGGGCCAUCUGAGAGCGAUGAACUAAGCAUAAAGUAGGAGAACAAUGGAGCGACUAACUUAGAAAUCUUACACUGAAUCAAUGACUAAGAAAGUAAUUAAAGACAUACAAUAUAAGAAUUACUGUGUUCAUUUCAGUGCAGCGUGGGCCCUGGUCACACUGCUGGUGCAUGACUGGGCUCUCUCUUGCACACAGGAUGCUGAGAUGGGGUGGCACCCGUUGGAAAUUCAGCCAAAUACGUACUCAGGCGAGGCAUUAGAGAAGGUUGCCGAGGGAUCUUGAAGGCUGUAGGUGCUGCAUACUUGCCAUGUGUGUGAUGCCUUUUACCAGUCAUCUGCCCUGUGUCUGCCUUCCAAGAAAUAUGGUGAUACAAUGCGUGGUCUCCCAGCUGCCUUUCUGACAGUGGAUUGGGAAGAACAGCACAUGGGGCAUCUCUGUUUGGGCCUUAAAACAUCGACUGUCCACCCCAACACACUCCUUCCAUCUGCUGUCCUGAGCAAUUAAGUAUAGCAUGUGGAUUCAGCUACUUCUCCACAGAAGUGCAAAGCAAAUGGUCAUGUCUAGAGAGUAGCCCUGUGUAAUACAUCUUCAGAUCCGGCCGCAUGCUUUACUCUAUGUAAUUAUUAUACUUCAUAUAUCAAACUAAACAGUGUAAAAUAAAUAUUUUCCAAAUUAAAAAAAAAGUCCUCAAAAGUAACCCCCCAUCUCUUACUGGGCCAAAUUUUAUAAUAUUUUUAUCUAACAGCCAUCUUUGUAGGAAACCAAACAUUACAAAAAUAAUGUAGCAUCACUAAAGCUUAGACAUAUACAGAAGGGGUAGGAGGAAGAGCAAUGUUAUGAUAAAGUUCUAACUGCCCUACAUUUUCUGCUGAAUGGUUUUUAAAACUACUGAUCUCUUGCUUCCCGGAAUCUGUGUAAAUAUGUCUACUAAACACAGUUUUAAAUGACUGUAAUGUAGUUGGUUUGCUCAUCUCUUAAUAUGCUCCUUUAAAAAAAAAAAGGCAUUAUUUACAUUCGGCAUCUGGAAUAUCUGGGAAGUUUUUUCAUCUAG